UUUACGGAAGAUUUUGAAAAGAUUUACAGCUUAUCAAACAGAGUAUGGAUUUGCGACUGAUGUUGAAGAAGCAAAGAGCGAUGUCAAUGGAAAACUUAUUCAUCUAUUUUUGAUUUCCUUUACUCCUUCUAUUGCAACACGCAUGCUUUUAGCUUUUCCCCAUUUUACUGACUUGUUAAAAAUUUGGAAUUUCGUAUAUGUAUUUGGUACUUUCGAAUUCUUCACAAAUCUGGUUUUCAAUGUGUAUUUGAGCGCUAUUGCAAUGACUACAUUCCUGAUCAUAUUUAUUCUGACGACAUUUAUUACGAGAGAGGUCAAGGUCGUUGAUCAAAAGGUGAAGACCUUUGGAGAGGACUGCGCGAUCACUGCUAGUAAACUAGAGAGACUUAGAAGACAACAACAGCAAGCGGGGACUCUUUUGAGAAAAUCCAAAGUUCUCGCGCAAUCUUACACAAAUGCAGUGUUCCUGGUCAUUUUAAUUAAAAUCUUAGUCUUUUUAUGGGGAUUGUUUCAUGGCGACGAGGUUGUCAUGGUUAAAGCACUGCAUAGCAACGUCAUAUGUCAAGUGCUGACUGUGAUUUGGAUGAGAAAAUCUACGAUAAAAGCAAAUGAUCAGGUAAGGUUACAGCCAUUGAUUUUCUAUUACUAGUAUUUCAUGUAACCGCUGAUUAAGCAUUUUAUUUAUUAUUCGAUGCAUGUUUCAAUUACUGUAAUUGAGUUGAGUCUAACUACGUCAAAAGGGAGUUAGCUUUGUAGAAAUCAUUCAAAUUUGUAUCACAUAUAACAUUUUUAAAAGCUAUACUGUAUUUCCAAGACGAAAAUGAAAAGAAAAAUCAAAUUCUGGUCAAAAUUGAAAAUAUCAUUUAAUAAAAUUUUAAACAUUUUGUAAUAUGAUUUAACGUAUUUAUUUUGAUUUUCCAGGAUUACAAGAUUUUAAGACGUCUAUUUGCUUUAAGUUUGGAGAAUUUGUCAUUUGAUGCACAACACCAGAUACAGGUAUUCAUAUCCCAGGUGAUCAUCCAGACGACAUCACCUAACGCUGUCAGCACGAUUACAGUGGAAGUCUCAACAGCACUGGUGAUAUUUGGGGCGAUGACCACAUGGUAUAUUGUUGCGGUUUUACAGUUUUAAGGUGUUAGCUGUGGCCUUUACAAGUUCCUGGACAUUGCAGUGUCUCAAGUUGACUCUUUUUAUAGCUGCAAUUUCAAUCUAACCCUUUCAAUUUCUUUUUGGGGAGCUGAAUAGGUUGGGAAAACUCAACACGGUUGCAACUACUACUUUUUCCCCUGGUAAUUUUGUUUAUGUUUGGUGACAAGUCAUUAUAUAACAUGACUCCAUAUAAAAUGAA
Molecule: long non-coding RNA, 1348 nt
Organism: Magallana angulata
Lineage: Eukaryota; Metazoa; Mollusca; Bivalvia; Ostreida; Ostreidae
Exons: 3
Source: RefSeq, a predicted model, not a curated record